UGUGAGUCUUUGAUUCUUGUGCCUGAAUG
This 29-nucleotide non-coding RNA is filed under the name Mus musculus (house mouse). The record is from RNAcentral. Lineage: Eukaryota; Metazoa; Chordata; Mammalia; Rodentia; Muridae.